Molecule: ribosomal RNA, 465 nt
Filed under: uncultured Klebsiella sp.
Lineage: Bacteria; Pseudomonadati; Pseudomonadota; Gammaproteobacteria; Enterobacterales; Enterobacteriaceae
Description: bacterial SSU rRNA
Rfam family: Bacterial small subunit ribosomal RNA
Source: RNAcentral
CCUACGGGCGGCAGCAGUGGGGAAUAUUGCGCAAUGGGCGCAAGCCUGAUGCAGCCAUGCCGCGUGUGUGAAGAAGGCCUUCGGGUUGUAAAGCACUUUCAGCGGGGAGGAAGGCGGUGAGGUUAAUAACCUCAUCGAUUGACGUUACCCGCAGAAGAAGCACCGGCUAACUCCGUGCCAGCAGCCGCGGUAAUACGGAGGGUGCAAGCGUUAAUCGGAAUUACUGGGCGUAAAGCGCACGCAGGCGGUCUGUCAAGUCGGAUGUGAAAUCCCCGGGCUCAACCUGGGAACUGCAUUCGAAACUGGCAGGCUAGAGUCUUGUAGAGGGGGGUAGAAUUCCAGGUGUAGCGGUGAAAUGCGUAGAGAUCUGGAGGAAUACCGGUGGCGAAGGCGGCCCCCUGGACAAAGACUGACGCUCAGGUGCGAAAGUGUGGGGAGCAAACAGGAUUAGAUACCCCGGUAGUC